RNAcentral lists this ribosomal RNA (245 nucleotides) under uncultured bacterium. RNAcentral describes it as "partial 16S ribosomal RNA". It matches the Rfam family "Bacterial small subunit ribosomal RNA", at positions 527 to 771 of the family's 1533-position model. The record is from RNAcentral.
GUAGGGGGCAAGCGUUAUCCGGAUUUACUGGGUGUAAAGGGAGCGUAGACGGCUGAGCAAGUCUGAAGUGAAAGGCGGGGGCCCAACCCCCGGACUGCUUUGGAAACUGUAUAGCUAGAGUGCAGGAGAGGUAAGUGGAAUUCCUAGUGUAGCGGUGAAAUGCGUAGAUAUUAGGAGGAACACCAGUGGCGAAGGCGGCUUACUGGACGAUGACUGACGCUGAGGCUCGAAAGCGUGGGGAGCAA